GAAUAUUGGUCAAUGGAUGAAAGUCUGAACCAGCCAUGCCGCGUGCAGGAAGACGGCCUUCUGGGUUGUAAACUGCUUUUGUCAGGGGAUAAAAUGCCCAUGCGUGGGCCAUUGAAGGUACCUGACGAAUAAGCCACGGCUAACUACGUGCCAGCAGCCGCGGUAAUACAGAGGGUGCGAGCGUUGUCCGGAAUCACUGGGCGUAAAGGGCGCGUAGGCGGCUUGAUAAGUAGGGGGUGAAAUCUUGCGGCUCAACUGCAAGGCUGCCUCCUAAACUGUCAGGCUUGAGCACAGUAGAGGCAGGUGGAAUUCCCGGUGUAGCGGUGGAAUGCGUAGAGAUCGGGAAGAACAUCGGUGGCGAAGGCGGCCUGCUGGGCUGUUGCUGACGCUGAGGCGCGACAGCGUGGGGAGCAAAC
This 416-nucleotide ribosomal RNA is filed under the name uncultured bacterium. RNAcentral's name for it is "bacterial SSU rRNA". It matches the Rfam family "Bacterial small subunit ribosomal RNA", at positions 359 to 773 of the family's 1533-position model. The record is from RNAcentral.